AAAAAAAACCCAAAAACCCAAAUGUGGUCAUGAAGAGUUGGAAAUGACUGAAAAAUGACUGAAUACCAUCUCUACCACCAAGGACAACAAUACAGAUGAAGGAAUGGUCUCAGGGAAAUUGAGUCAGUCAUACAGCUCAAUAAGCUAUGUAAAUGUCAGAGGUGGAAUUUUUGAUAAUCUUGAUCCAGGGCUAUAGUACAAUACCACAUCUAAUUCACUAUGGCUUCUUUUAGCCAUAAUCUGCAAUGCAUCCUUUGAGAGGAUCACCAUGGUUUUCAGUACCAGGAGUUGUUUUUUUUUUUUUUUUUUUUUUUUAGCCUUCUUAGCCUUUCCCUUGGAAUGAAGUCUAUUCUUCCCUUAGCAGUGAAUGGUAAUGUUCCUUUAGGAAAUUGCAAUAGAACAGGAUAAAUAAAAAUUCACAUUAAUCCAUAUUAUAGGAAAUUAAAGUCCAUAUUGCUGAAUACAAUAGAGACGGGGGAGAAUGCAUGUGGGAUGUGGGGCAGAGAAGCCAGCCACGGAUUGGCUUUUUUCUCCUGUGCACACCUUGCCUUAUCCAUUUUCUCAUUACUUUUGUUGGCUCGACAGAUGAAAUCAGAUGUCAACUCGAGCUUCUCCGCUGCUUGCUCAUCAGAACUUGCUAAGCCAGCCUUGGCUUCUGUUUUGUGUUGGGCAUCCUCAGCUUAGCGCUGAUCUUAGUCUUGACAGCUGGGCCUGAUGUCAGAGGCAGAACGCCGCCGGGUAUCCUAAUGCCCUGCCCCCUCCCUUUUGGAUCCCAAAUGCUUUGGCCAGAGUAUGGGAAAGGCAAUUCAAUUGUUUCAACUUGCUGUGAAAGCCAGUUUUAAUCUGGAAAUGACUAACACACACACAGCCUGUAUCUACCAAUUCUCCCUCCGCACUUAAUCUCAAACACCCAAGUUGCGCUCUUGAAUUAGGAUCUGUUGAAUCUAAAAGAGGGUUAAUAACUCCUAUCUUUUUUACUGUUAGAAUUGGGAGUAGGUAUUCUCGGUCCUAUUUGAACGUGAGGAUCCAGCCACCCUGAUUAACCGCCAAUAUCUAGUGCAACUGUCUAUCUGUCUGUCUUUCUUGGCUCUCCUUCCCCUGCCCCCCACCUCCGAGUCUCUUUUUCCAGCGCUCGCUCUGAGAACAGCUUUUCCUCUGUUCCCUGGGCCUCCCCAGGCUCUGAAUGCAGUAGCUGUAAUCCCUCAGUGUUCAGCGUUGGGUAUAUCAUGUAACUCCCCUCGCCUUCAUUCCUAUGCAGGACAGAGAUACCCAGGAAUGGAAAAAGAGGACUUGGGAUCAGCAUCUCUGUGUGAAGAGGAGCAAGAAUGAGCUGUCUUGGCUAUGUGUGAUGAAAAUAAAUCUCUGCAUUAUAUAGAACAGCAAGAGUCAGAAGAUUAUGGCAGAUGUGCCAGACAAAAUGCUUUAAUCCAAAAGAUGAAGGGUUUGGACCUUGUACAACAGUGAUUCUUACACAAGAGAUUAAGGCUCUGGGAGGAAGAACUGACAGAUGGAGACACUGGGACAGAAUGUCAAAGUCGACUCUGCCUUCCCUUGCCUCCACCGCCUCCACCACUCAUCAAUGUAGAAGCUCCAACAGAUGAACUUCAUUGGGCCCUGACCACCUCUUAAAAAUUAACAUUCUUGGGUUUGGACUGAGAACUAUUUGCAACAUGACCUUUUGGGGAAGGAAAGUAUUACAUGCCAAGGGUCAAUAAAUCAAUAAUAUUUAUUAAGUAUCUACUGUGUGCUAGUCAUUGUGUGAAUGCUGGGUCUGAAUUGGAUGCUGACAGAACUACAUCCUAAAUAGCAGAAUCUUGGUGGUAAUUAGCUACAGUUGGGAAAGACUGUUGUGCUUUUCUGUCCUUGGUGCAUUUUAAUAUGGGGCAUUAGGCAAUGUGGACUUGGAGAUUUUACCUUUCCAGAAACUAGAGGGCUCUCCAUUGCACCUUUUCCUCAACAUUCCUCCUCCCCCAGGUCUUGACUUUUUACCAGGCGUUUGGACUCUGAUUUUUUUUUGUUUGCUCCGUUAUCUUCAAGCCGGAUACAGGGGUGAAUAGUUAACAACUCUCAGGUCAAAUGGGAGCUUAAUUUUUCCUGCUCUUUCUCAAGGGCUCAGUGUUUACUCAUUGCCAUGGGAGCAGCCAUGGAAUUGAUUUCCUGUCCCCUCCUGGUAUUUUGCAGGCCUUGGCCCCCUAAGCUCUAGAAUGAUGGUUUAUGACCUAACAUUGCAGGCCUACUAGUUACUUACUUUACUGUUUCUGACAUUUGGCAGGUAGGAGGGAAAGUUACUUGUGAGCUAGGGUAUCUACUGAGAUAUAGUGCUCCUCCUCCACUGGUUCCCCCAUCAAUAUUUCUUCUUUAGAUGAUAGCCUUAGAAGGGAAAAAGCUAUGAAUCCUUGUUAAUGAAACCUGUCUUCAGUUUGGGUAGCCCUGGGACUCAUCUUUUGGAAAGUCAGCUGGAAAGAAAGACCCUUGUCUCUUUGACAAUGGUUUCUACUUUUAUGGAGCUGGUUGUCCUCCAGAAUUGGUAGCUAUUUGUGAUUGAGAACCCUAACACAUGCUUUUGAUGAGGUUCAACUUCCCCUUAUCCCUGACAACAGAAAAGAGAAUUGGGUCAUGAAAAACACAAAUUGUUUUUGUUGCUCACCUUUCUCAUCGGCUUAUUCUGGAAGCUGUCAUCUAUUUCUCAAGCUGAUUUCAUGGACAUUUCUUAUGGUUCAAGUUCAUGGGGAAGCAUUGAAUCAAAGAUGUAUGGAUUUAUUGCCUUCAAAAUGAAAGACUUGUUUCAUUAUUUAAGAAAUUAAAUCUGGACAUAUUCUACUACUUUACUCAAUGUGUAUGUCUAUGUAUAGGUUCCUUCUGAGGCAAAGGUAGAGCUCUUCCUGUGAGCCUUAUUUGGCAGGAAAUGAUCAAAGAUCAAUUACUCAGCAAACAUUUAUUAAGUGCUUAGUUAGUUAAUUAUUGCUUAAUUAGAGGCGGUCAGGUAUCUCAGCCAGUGAAUGGAGUGCAGACAUGACUUCAAGUAUAGUCGCAGACAUGACUUCAAGUAUGGUCUCAGACACUAUCUAUGUGAUA
This is a long non-coding RNA of Sarcophilus harrisii (Tasmanian devil), 3075 nucleotides long. RefSeq lists it as uncharacterized. The record is from RefSeq and is a predicted model, not a curated record. The transcript is spliced from 4 exons. Lineage: Eukaryota; Metazoa; Chordata; Mammalia; Dasyuromorphia; Dasyuridae.